Molecule: ribosomal RNA, 910 nt
Filed under: uncultured bacterium
Lineage: Bacteria
Description: bacterial SSU rRNA
Rfam family: Bacterial small subunit ribosomal RNA
Source: RNAcentral
ACGCUGGCGGCGUGCCUAAUACAUGCAAGUAGAACGCUGAAGAGAGGAGCUUGCUCUUCUUGGAUGAGUUGCGAACGGGUGAGUAACGCGUAGGUAACCUGCCUUGUAGCGGGGGAUAACUAUUGGAAACGAUAGCUAAUACCGCAUAACAAUGGAUGACACAUGUCAUUUAUUUGAAAGGGGCAAUUGCUCCACUACAAGAUGGACCUGCGUUGUAUUAGCUAGUAGGUGAGGUAACGGCUCACCUAGGCGACGAUACAUAGCCGACCUGAGAGGGUGAUCGGCCACACUGGGACUGAGACACGGCCCAGACUCCUACGGGAGGCAGCAGUAGGGAAUCUUCGGCAAUGGGGGCAACCCUGACCGAGCAACGCCGCGUGAGUGAAGAAGGUUUUCGGAUCGUAAAGCUCCGUUAUAAGUCAAGAACGAGUAUGAGAGUGGAAAGUUCACACUGUGACGGUAGCUUACCAGAAAGGGACGGCUAACUACGUGCCAGCAGCCGCGGUAAUACGUAGGUCCCGAGCGUUGUCCGGAUUUAUUGGGCGUAAAGCGAGCGCAGGCGGUUUGAUAAGUCUGAAGUUAAAGGCUGUGGCUUAACCAUAGUUCGCUUUGGAAACUGUUUAACUUGAGUGCAAGAGGGGAGAGUGGAAUUCCAUGUGUAGCGGUGAAAUGCGUAGAUAUAUGGAGGAACACCGGUGGCGAAAGCGGCUCUCUGGUCUGUAACUGACGCUGAGGCUCGAAAGCGUGGGGAGCGAACAGGAUUAGAUACCCUGGUAGUCCACGCCGUAAACGAUGAGUGCUAGGUGUUGGAUCCUUUCCGGGAUUCAGUGCCGCAGCUAACGCAUUAAGCACUCCGCCUGGGGAGUACGACCGCAAGGUUGAAACUCAAAGGAAUUGACGGGGGCCCGCA